Molecule: long non-coding RNA, 560 nt
Organism: Lagenorhynchus albirostris (white-beaked dolphin)
Lineage: Eukaryota; Metazoa; Chordata; Mammalia; Artiodactyla; Delphinidae
Exons: 2
Source: RefSeq, a predicted model, not a curated record
CGGGCCCUUCUGGGGCGGGCAAUCUCUAGCAGGUGUGACUACCUAAAACAGGGAGUGGGCGUAGCUACUGACGUUGGGCGGAGCUUUUAGGAGGCGGGGCUUCAAGGAGACUUGGCUUGGGCUGGGCUAAAAUCCAAAUAUAUAUAGGCUAUUGAAAGGUGUGUGGCUGUUUCUUUAAAGAACCCGAAAGAUCCUUUUCCCUUCGCCGAGUCCCCUUCACCGCAGAAGUUCCGCGGGCUGCGCACUUGCUCUCUCCUGGUCCUGGGGAAACGUGGUUACCUGGCCCUGAGGCUGCCCUCCUGGACCUUUCUCAACUGGAGACCCUUGUUGUGCCUGCAGUGACAUAAGCAGUACGGAAUGGAGGAGGCAAACAUCAGACCCUGGACUGGACAGAGCUCAAGCCACCUAGAUGGAGCACACACACAAAAAGAUGGGUGCUCCAGGCUAGGCUGGGGACACGAUUCUGCACAUUGGGAAAGUCUGUGUUUCUCUGGGCUUCUACUUACUUGUCUGUAAAAUGGGAUAUAAUCACUCUUGCUGUUCUUGUUAUAAAUCUGAAA